GUUGGCCCUUAGAUUUGCGCUCAGGACGAACGCUGGCGGCGUGCCUAAUACAUGCAAGUCGAGCGGACUUAAAGCUUGCUUAAGUUAGCGGCGGACGGGUGAGUAACACGUGGGCAACCUGCCUGUAAGACUGGGAUAACUUCGGGAAACCGGAGCUAAUACCGGAUAAUCCUUUUCUACUCAUGUAGAAAGCUGAAAGACGGUUUACGCUGUCACUUACAGAUGGGCCCGCGGCGCAUUAGCUAGUUGGUGAGGUAACGGCUCACCAAGGCGACGAUGCGUAGCCGACCUGAGAGGGUGAUCGGCCACACUGGGACUGAGACACGGCCCAGACUCCUACGGGAGGCAGCAGUAGGGAAUCUUCCGCAAUGGACGAAAGUCUGACGGAGCAACGCCGCGUGAGUGAUGAAGGUUCGGAUCGUAAACUCUGUUGUUAGGGAAGAACAAGUACGAGAGUAACUGCUCGUACCUUGACGGUACCUAACCAGAAAGCCACGGCUAACUACGUGCCAGCAGCCGCGGUAAUACGUAGGUGGCAAGCGUUGUCCGGAAUUAUUGGGCGUAAGCGCGCGCAGGCGGUCCUUAAGUCUGAUGUGAAAGCCCACGGCUCAACCGUGGAGGGUCAUUGGAAACUGACUUGAGUGCAGAAGAGAAGAGUGGAAUUCCACGUGUAGCGGUGAAAUGCGUAGAGAUGUGGGAACACCAGUGGCGAAGGCGACUCUUUGGUCUGUAACUGACGCU
Molecule: ribosomal RNA, 741 nt
Filed under: Niallia nealsonii
Lineage: Bacteria; Bacillati; Bacillota; Bacilli; Caryophanales; Bacillaceae
Description: bacterial SSU rRNA
Rfam family: Bacterial small subunit ribosomal RNA
Source: RNAcentral